CAGAGAAACUCGCCCGCAAGGGUGACUCUCCAACCCUAUGUUAAUUAUACCUUUGUUGCUUUGGCGAGCCGCUUCGGCCACCGGCUUCACGCUGGUGAGUGCUCGCCAGAGGACCCUAAACUCUGAAUAUUAUUGUCGUCUGAGUACUAUAUAAUAGUUA
RNAcentral lists this unclassified non-coding RNA (160 nucleotides) under uncultured Helotiales. RNAcentral's name for it is "sequence contains ITS1". The record is from RNAcentral. Lineage: Eukaryota; Fungi; Ascomycota; Leotiomycetes; Helotiales.